ACUUUGCUAUGCUUCAACUCUUCAAGCACAUAGAACAAAAUUUCAACCUCGUGCAAGAAAAUGUGUUUUACUUGGUUUUAAAACAGGAGUGAAAGGCUACCUUUUGUUAGAUUUCAACUCAAGGGAAAUUUUUCUAUCAAGGAAUGUAGUAUUUUAUGAAAACAUAUUUCCUUUUCUUACUAGUGACAAGCACUCAUCUAUUGAUACACAAAAUUUAAAUUCAUUGGAUUUGGUCACCAAAAUCAAUUCAUCUCCAUCACCUCUUUUCUCAGAAGUUACUGAUCAACCCUCUUUACCACCUACAUCUCCUCCUUCUAUUGUUCCAGACCCUGUUAGUUUUUCUUCUCAACCUGUUUCUGUUGAACCUGCCACUGCUACUCCACAAAGGAAAUCAACCAAGUCAACACAUAAACCAUCUUAUUUGCAGGACUAUCAUUGCAACAUGUUAGUUACUUCUUCCGCCACUCAGUCAUCCACAGGUACCUUAUAUCCUAUCUCUUCAUAUCUCUCAUAUGAUGCAUUAUCAUCUCUUCAUAAAUCAUAUGUCUUUAAUCUUUCCCAAGUUAGUGAACCUAAAACCUAUAACCAA
This 589-nucleotide long non-coding RNA is filed under the name Vigna radiata. RNAcentral describes it as "long non-coding RNA (VRAD_LNC008938)". The record is from RNAcentral. Lineage: Eukaryota; Viridiplantae; Streptophyta; Magnoliopsida; Fabales; Fabaceae.